ACUCUUACGGAUUAAUACGUGUCUGUAGGGCAAUCCGGUGGACUUGAUCGGCCUUUUACUUCGAAAGUUGAGUAAUCGGUGUCGCUUUCUUACGCAUCUUUGAACUGUAUAAAUGUUUUAAAAUUGUUUGAUCCAGAAUGUACCACACCGGACAAUCAAGAAGGCAGGUGCCUUGACUACAGAAAAUGUAAACCUCUGCAAGAAAUAUGGCAGAUACAGUACCGUACAGCCACCGAUUUUUAUAGACGAUCAGUGUGCAGAUACCAGGGCAAUGUUACGAUCGUUUGCUGUCCGAACGAUCCAAACAAAGAGAAGAGAGAAAUUUUAAUAAAAACUGUGUAUAAGUAUAAGGCUUUGCGACCACCAUACUGUGGUUUUAGCAACGUCUCUCAUACCAGGGUGGUCGAUGGUAAACCAGCUGAACUUGGAAGAGUAUCUUUUUGCUUGAAAUAAAAAAUUGAUAUAGGAGUAAUAAUAUGGAUAGAGAUCAAAAACUGUUAGGGCAGAAAUUACACGUUUGAACUUUAUAGUUCAGUAUAGUUCAAAUAGAAAUUAUAUAGAAUUAUUUAAUAAUUUGUAUUCCACUGGAAUAAAAAUUUAAUUUCUGUCUUUAUCAAAUCUCUGUUUCAGAGUAUUUGUACGUAUGUACUUAUCGUCUGCUGUAUGAUCGAAUUUCGAAUAGGUAAUAAUCGUUGUUACUCGUUAUGUGAGAAAAAAUUAUGUAUAUUCACAACUAUGACUAUUGCAUUUUAGGCGCUUGGCCAUGAAUCGCUGCAUUAGGUUUUCGUAAUCCCCGAAACCCAGACAAACCACUAUGGAAGUGCGGAGGUUCCCUGAUAUCGGCUAGGCAUGUUUUGACCGCAGCACAUUGUGCACAUAUGGAUGGAAUAGAAAACAUACACAAUCAUAAUAUUGCCAUUCUUAGAUUGGUGGAGGAGGUGCCAUUUUCGAGGUACGUAUAUCCCAUUUGUACGAAAGAGCCCCUACGAAAGAGCAACUUCGUCGGCUAUAACCCCCUUGUUGCUGG
Long non-coding RNA from Bombus huntii, 1027 nucleotides. RefSeq lists it as uncharacterized. Lineage: Eukaryota; Metazoa; Arthropoda; Insecta; Hymenoptera; Apidae. The record is from RefSeq and is a predicted model, not a curated record. The transcript is spliced from 3 exons.